Molecule: ribosomal RNA, 253 nt
Filed under: uncultured bacterium
Lineage: Bacteria
Description: partial 16S ribosomal RNA
Rfam family: Bacterial small subunit ribosomal RNA
Source: RNAcentral
UACGAAGGGUGCAAACGUUGCUCGGAAUCAUUGGGCGUAAAGCGCACGUAGGCGGCCCAGCAAGUUGGAUGUGAAAUCCCUCGGCUCAACCGAGGACGUGCAUCCAAAACUGCUGGGCUUGAGUACUGAAGAGGAUCGCGGAAUUCCCGGUGUAGAGGUGAAAUUCGUAGAUAUCGGGAGGAACACCAGUGGCGAAGGCGGCGAUCUGGGCAGAUACUGACGCUGAGGUGCGAAAGCGUGGGGAGCAAACAGG